GUAGGCCUGUAAAUACUUCCUCUUUCUUUAUAGUACACAGACUAACAAGGUAUUUGUAAGUACACUGGAUUUUCAUUUCUUUGAGUAAUAGUACAGAACAGUUUUUGUCUAUUAAUAGGUACUUAAUCCAAGAUCUGUACAAAACAACUGUUUAUAUUUUUUAGUAAAGAAAAUACAAGGAAAACACUAAGGAAAGUGGGGCUGUGAAGGGAGAUCGUCCAAAGAAGCUUGGUAGCCAACAUGCUCACUAAGGAGAGCUGACUUUUAUUUUUUUUCCAAUAUUUGUAAUAGUUAAAAAACGGCAUUCUUUGAGUCUGGUUGGUUAUAUCAUAAUACUAACAACCCCCCCCCCAAAAAAAAGCCAAAAAACGUUUUUUCCUGAGUUCAGAACAGAAUAAAAGGUACUAGGAACAGCUAAGAAUCCCCCAAACAUUCUCAAAGUAUCCUUUGUUUUCCUAGCAAAUCAAAGAGGCCGCUGUUCUGUUUCUGUAUGUUUUUGUCAGGCAGCACAUUUAUCUGGGUGUGUAUUUCUUUCCACCCUGCUAAGGUAUCUGGCUUUUCCUCCAGGGUCCAAGUGGCAACAGUCUUUGCUCCUCACUGAUCUUCCCCCUUGGUUUCUGGGGGAUACCGUGAUACACUACCACAAACCAGGUGGCUUUCAACAACAGAAAUUGGGAUGCCAGCAAGAAGACUUGGCACUCCUUGGCUUGCAGCUGCACCGUUCCAGUCUCUGUCGACAUAAUCAUUCCUCCCUGCGCCCCUUCUCAGUCUCAUGUCCAAAUCACCCUCUCCAUGAGAAGACACCAGUAGUUUAAUCUUACUCCACUGUGACCUCAGAUUAACUUGACCACAUCUGCAAAGACCCUAAAAUAAAAACACCAGAGAUUAGGCUCAAUGUAAGUUUUGGGGAUGGAGAAUCAAAUUCAUAGCAUCCUGUAGUUUUCAAGUUCACCUGACCUUAUCUUAUUUUUUUGGUCCCACUUCAUUGGUAAACGCUUUCUAAAGUUACCUGUAUUCUGUGUCCACAUUGUUUCCAUCAUAUUUUCCUGUGAACUUUUAUUUUUACAAUUCCAUCAAAGCUCCUCUUGCCAAGAUCAAUGUUUCUAAUCCUGAUAUCAACUCAGUUUCGUUCACAAUUAGAUCCCUCUUUCAUAUUUGAAAUCCUUCCUUCAUUGGAAGGACAUCACUGUCAUUGUUGGCUUCCUGUAUCUUCUCAAACUCUGACAUCAGCACCCUAAUUUGCACCUGUUCUGUUAUUUCUGGGUUAUGGCCUGUGAUAAUGAUCCCAAACUUGGUUUUUCAGCUCUCUUGGUCAGUUGCUUUUCUGAUCUUUAAACUCAAACAUCAGCCUUCUCAGCAUCGCUACUAGAAGUUUAGUUGACAUCACAACAAAGUGAUAUUUGUGAGUCCACCCACAAAAUAAAAUAGUAGGGUCAUUUUUUGACUCAUUUCUGUCUCUCACACUUGGUUAUUUUUCUUUUGCAGUAAGGAUUGCAGCCAGGGCCUUUGCACUGAACUACAUCCCCAGCCAUUAAAUUGCUAAGCUGCUUGAUGGGCUUGAACUUUACAGCCUCCUGCAUCAGCCUCCCAGAGUGCUGGGAUUAUAGGAAUGUGCAGCCACACCUAGCUAGGGGAAGAAUAAGCGUUGUAUAGUGAUGGAAGAAGAAAAUAAAGUCCAUCCUUUCUUGGACCACUCUGCUGCAUAUUGUUCAGGAUUAUUUAAAAUCACAAUGCCUUACGAUAUUUCCAGAACCAAAAAUCAGAAUAUUUGGCCUGCUGACCUUGUGCAUCCUUCCACUUUCAAGUCCCCCUCCAAGAAAUCUACUACCAAAUAAAUAAAAAUAAAACCCUACUUUGAUGUGUUGUGGGCCUAAUCAGACAUUCUAGAGAACCAAAUGGUAAGAAAAAUCCCAAUAAAAUGUUUAAAAAAAUUGUAAGUCAGUUUGAUAGAGGCUGAGCUGCAUGUUUGUAGUGAUGUUGGAGCCCUGCCAAUGGUAAAUAGGAUCCAGUUGCUGUGGACUGAAGGAUUUCUGGCAGCAAAUCAGGACAGAAAAUCUGACCAAAUAAUGUCUUUUCGAGUAAGUGACAGCUAAAAUCUGUUCUCUGGCUGUUACUGCUGUGAAUAAAUGGGCAGAUAUUUUAUUUAAACAUGUAAGUGUGAAAGAAGGUUGUCAUUUUCAUGUUCUAAAGAAUCCAGCAGAAAAAAUAAGAAAAUUUAAUAUUUAUUGUGUUUUAAAUGAGGUUGACAUUCUAGAAAAAAUUACUCAAAACAAUGGAUAAGCCAUCCACGUUUUACAAAGUCAAAUUUAACAUUCCAUGUAUAUU
Non-coding RNA from Heterocephalus glaber (naked mole-rat), 2325 nucleotides. The record is from RefSeq and is a predicted model, not a curated record. NCBI's taxonomy places the organism in Eukaryota, Metazoa, Chordata, Mammalia, Rodentia, Bathyergidae.